UACGAAGGGGGCUAGCGUUGUUCGGAUUUACUGGGCGUAAAGCGCACGUAGUCGGCUUUGCAAGUCGGUUGUGAAAUCCCCGGGCUCAACCUGGGAACUGCAUCCGAGACUGCAUUGCUAGAGUAUGGGAGAGGAAAGCGGAAUUUCUGGUGUAGCAGUGAAAUGCGUAGAUAUCAGAAGGAACAUCAGUGGCGAAGGCGGCUUUCUGGACCAAUACUGACGAUCAGGUGCGAAAGCGUGGGGAGCAAACAGG
This 253-nucleotide ribosomal RNA is filed under the name uncultured bacterium. RNAcentral's name for it is "partial 16S ribosomal RNA". It matches the Rfam family "Bacterial small subunit ribosomal RNA", at positions 524 to 776 of the family's 1533-position model. The record is from RNAcentral.